UGCUGAAGGAGGCGGGGCGCCCCGUUGCUAGGGCCGCGGCGUUGCUAGGGCCGCGGCAGAGCCGGGUGGCGGCCGCCGCCUUCCCCCGGAUCGGGCCGGGCCGGGCCGGGGCCAUGGUGAAGCUGGGCGCCAAGUGCCUGCUGGCAGGUGAUCCAGCCGUGGGGAAGAGUGCUUUAGCUCAGAUGUUCCGCAGUGAUGGGGCUCAUUUUCAGAAGAACUACACGCUGACAACAGGCAUUGAACUGUUGGUGAAGGCUGUAUCAGUUCCAGAGACAAGUGAUAGUGUGGAAUUCUUCAUUUUUGACUCUGCAGGAAAAGAUCUAUUUUCUGAGAUGCUGGAGAAACUGUGGGAGCAACCAAACGUCCUGUGCCUUGUGUAUGAUGUCACUAAUGAGCAAUCUUUCAACAACUGUGCCAAGUGGCUGGAGAAGCUGAGGGCUCAAGCAGUUGGGAUGUACAUCCCAGGUGUCUUAGUGGGGAAUAAAACAGAUCUGGUUGGUCGUCGAGUUGUGGAGCAGAAACAAGCACAGGAGUGGGCUGACAAGCAUGGCCUGGAAUACUGUGAGAUGUCAGUGGAGAUGAAAAAUUUUGAGGCCCCUUUCCACAUCCUGGCAAAGUCAUUCCACCAACUGUACAAAGAGAAAGUGGAAACCUUUCACUCACUAGCUUGAGGGCUGUGACUGGGAAUGACUUAAUUAGCUUAUGAGCUCCUUCUGGGGCCCAGAAUCCUGUGGACUGGGAUACAGAGAGAAGAAAAAAGAUGAUUGCUCCCUCAUGGUUAUCUUCUGGCUGGCUUUCGCUGCCUGGCAGGAGCUGUCUGUCUCGCAUCUGUACUACUGUCACUUGGUAAUGCAGUGCCCUCUGCUGGCCCCAGGUCACAAGAUUUUUGAAGAAGCUACCUCUGAUGAAGCAAGCAGGACUUUCUACUGUCACAUCCAAAUUGGCGUAUCUGCAGAAUGGGGUCAUAUAGUAAGAAUACCUCUUUUAUUCCAGGGACAAAUCUAAGACUUAAAUUAUCUUUCUUUCUUCAUGCAUUUGUUAUUUUAUGUGUUUUUGUGUCAUUUUUCAUCUUGUCAGCUGAGCUUUCCAAUUCCGUGUUCUCAUUAGAUUCAGUUCUCAAUCUCUUACUAGAAUCAGGCUCAUCUUUGUUGUUAAACUUCCCCUGCCUAUCCUUGAAUUUCAGAGCAAAGACCAUGAUUCUGAUGUCACUAGUGGAAGCAAGACUCAGUAAAUGAAAAACAACCUCGCUAAGUUACUUUGAUUCAACCAUGUCUGGCUGGAAAUUUUGUAUCAGAAAGGACAAAAGCCUAGAGAGAGCACUUUUUCGUGUGGUGCAUUGAUGUUGCCUCUGUAAGAAUCUAUUUGCUAAUGCGGUACGUGAAAGCAUCCAUGGUUAGGCACUGCUUUGCAGCUGGGCCUAACACUGAGGAGCUCAAAACUGUAACCUUUCUCUCCUCCCAAAAUUACAUUAGCCUCCCUUGGGCAAGGUCGUUUUCAUGGAGAAUAAACACUGAGGGAUUUUUCAGGCGGGCUUUUCAGGGAUCUGUGUUUCAAGACUUUUAUAUAUUUUAUAACCAUUUUUAUGCUCAGUGCUAGGAAUAUGACUGUAGAUGUUGUAGCAGAGUUUAUGAAACACCUCAAGAAUCUGGAAUAGCAGCUGGGCUCGUUUCACUGGCAACAGCAUGUCGAUGCUGGGAGUUAGCUAGGGAGCAUGAAUACCAGCUAAAGGGGUUAAGCAGGAGUUGAGCCCUCUAGGAAAGAAAAUGAAUAAUGUUUUUGUUUGUUUGUUUUUUCCCUCAAGAAGCCACUUGGGAAAACAUGACAGAACUAGCUGGGAAAGCUUUUACUUCCUCCAAAUAAGGAGGACUCCUCCAUGGGUUUAGGGUCACUAGAAGACUCACCCUUUUUGACUUGAAUUGGCAUCCUUGUCGUACAUGGGUUGCCUUGUGAAUUCUGGGGGCUGUCUCUUUAUUUACAUGGGCUGGGUAGAGGUUUGCCUGCAGAUGUUAGUGCCUCUGACUAUUAAGAAUAAAAGCUAUUUUGGAUGCUGUGCUGAUCUAGUUAAAGAACUAAAGAAGGUUUGUUUUGAUUCGGUAGCUCAUUUGCCCCUAGUUCUACUGAUGAUGUGAUUACAACACAAGACAGAUAUUUUUUCAUACUGAAAAUAUCAUGCCAGGUGUGUCUGUCACCUGUGACGUGGUGUAAGGGGGGAAUGAAUGCCUUGGGAAUAGGUGAUGAAAUGAAUCCUGUAUGAUCUUUAACUAGGGAGUUCAAUCUCUCUGCCCCAGAAAGACUUCCCAUAGUUUCAAAUAAACAGUCAAAAUGCGCCGGUAAGGUGAAGAUUGGUGAACAUUGUUUUAUUAAAUGAACACAAAAGCUGGAGGAUCUCAUUAAGGGAGUGCUUGCAGAGGUGAUUCGUGAUUUAUAGGGAAGCUGCUUUUGAUAGGUUAGUGAAGAAAAAUGCAUCCCAUGGAGGGAAAGAUAUAUUGCCUGAGAGAGGAAACAUAUAAUCUAAUUAGCUAUCAGUAGGGAUUCACCCACUGCCCCUUUCCUUCUUUCCACAGGCCAGGACUAGAAUUAGGAAAAAGGUUGUCUCUAAAGCAUGUAGCCCAACUUGAUUUUACGGCACUAUUUCAAGGACUAACACAGACACGAUUUAAUGUCUGUCAAAAUGGUAUGUUUGCUCAUAACCAUCUCAGUCAUUCCAAAUGCAUUUUAAAAGCGUAAUAUAUUGUUCCUUCGUGGCUAAUGUGCUAUACGAUACCAGCAUGAUGCAGGCGAUGCUAUUUUCCUAAUUUGACCUUGAUUGUAGAGACUAGUAGUGAAGGGUGAGUGGAGUCCAUGGGAGCCAGAUACAGACAGGCUGUGAAAAAGAGUUCUGUGUCUGCGUGAAGGAGUUUGGGUAGUGAGUAGGUGAGCUAGAUGAGCAGGACGAGUAAGAGUCUGAAGCCAUUAGUGAUUUCUCUUACUGUGGCCAGCAGCUGUUGUGGUCGUAUCUAUAGAGCGAGGAUGCUUUUUGCUGCUUAUAGCCUUUGCAAUUCCCUGAAUUACAGACACCGUGGAGGACAGUGGGAGGAAGGCAGAAAGCAUGUCUGCUGACCAGGAAGCUUGUUGUCUUCUUACAGCUCCCCUACUUUGUCCAGCUGUGCAUGCUGAGCACCUGCAGCACUGAAUGUUUACAACCUAGAAGAGCCCCAGCUCAACCAGAACUGAAAUUUCAAAAGAAGGGAGAGAAAACAAGCAGCAUUUUUAGCCAUCUAUAAGAGAUUAAUAUAUAGUCCUUUUUUCCUGCUUCCUUGUUUGAUUAAAAAAAAAAAAAUCUUUCCUCCUCAGAGCCCCUCCUUCUUACCUUUUCUUUGGUCCUCAUUUCUCGUGUUUCUGCUCCACAGAAUCCCUGUUACACUUGUGCCCUGCUUUACAUGGCUUGAAACAUUACCAGCUGAUUUUUAAAGCCUUCUAAUUUCUUUGUUAACUAUUCCCAAUGCUACCUUUCAUCUUAGAGAGAUUAAUAGACAAAAAAAAAAAAAAGUGGAAUUUUUAGUCAAGUUGUCAUGGAAGAAUGAACCUUAGGAAGCUGACUGACAUUUUGAAAUUUUCCUGGAAAUCCAUUUUUGUAAAGUUGUCAUAUUAAAGAUGCUUCAGUGGUUUGGUUUUGUUUUGCCAGACAUAUUCUACCAUGAAGUGAAAUGCAGGAUGUAGAACUGCAGAAAGAUCAGGCUUCAUUGUGGGAUUUAAUAGGAGUUUCAAAGCUGAUCAUACUGUGAUAAGAGCUGUUCAGUCUUAACAAUGGAGUGGUCACUGCUGUUCAUAAUAAAGCAUUAAAUGUACUGAAAUGGGGCCGUG
Cygnus atratus (black swan) is the source of this 3843-nucleotide RNA transcript. It is a transcript of the gene named intraflagellar transport 27, with no coding region annotated. Lineage: Eukaryota; Metazoa; Chordata; Aves; Anseriformes; Anatidae. The record is from RefSeq and is a predicted model, not a curated record. The transcript has 8 exons.